GAUGAACGCUGGCGGCGUGCCUAAUACAUGCAAGUCGAGCGAACAGACGAGGAGCUUGCUCCUCUGACGUUAGCGGCGGACGGGUGAGUCACACGUGGAUAACCUACCUAUAAGACUGGGAUAACUUCGGGAAACCGGAGCUAAUACCGGAUAAUAUAUUGAACCGCAUGGUUCAAUAGUGAAAGACGGUUUUGCUGUCACUUAUAGAUGGAUCCGCGCCGCAUUAGCUAGUUGGUAAGGUAACGGCUUACCAAGGCAACGAUGCGUAGCCGACCUGAGAGGGUGAUCGGCCACACUGGAACUGAGACACGGUCCAGACUCCUACGGGAGGCAGCAGUAGGGAAUCUUCCGCAAUGGGCGAAAGCCUGACGGAGCAACGCCGCGUGAGUGAUGAAGGUCUUCGGAUCGUAAAACUCUGUUAUUAGGGAAGAACAAAUGUGUAAGUAACUAUGCGCGUCUUGACGGUACCUAAUCAGAAAGCCACGGCUAACUACGUG
RNAcentral lists this ribosomal RNA (497 nucleotides) under uncultured bacterium. RNAcentral's name for it is "partial 16S ribosomal RNA". It matches the Rfam family "Bacterial small subunit ribosomal RNA", at positions 28 to 507 of the family's 1533-position model. The record is from RNAcentral.